UGCUUCCGCUUUUGUUUUGGUGUGGGUCCCACCCCAUUGGAUGGUGCUGCCCACAUUGAGGGUGGGUCUUCCCCACCCAUUUGCUAUCCGCUGUGCCAAUCAUCUCUGGAUCCCGCCUACAGGCCCUCCCAGAAGGGUGCUUUCCUAUGGCCUGUGUGAUUCUCAAUCUGAUCAGGUUGACAAUGAUUGGAGGGGAAAUUCCCCGUCUGCCUUGCUCUGGGCGGAAGUUUCAGUCCAGGCUCUGAGCUGCGCCCAGGCGGAACUGGUGUGUUUGUUUCCCUGACCAGGACCGCCGAACCCGAGUGCGCACCACAGGCGUUCCUGUCCCGAUGACUGUUACACACCCGCCAGCUCUCACACCGCUGGUGCAAGCGCUACGUUCUUGGUGUCGCCACUGGCAUCACACCCUGGUGGCAGGACGCCUGCGGUCUCGAGUUGCGACUCAACGGAGCGAACUGAACAGCUGCCCCACUCCCGAGGAGUGUGCGGCGUGGCACGUCGCGUGGAAAUCUAGGACAACAACAACAACGGUGAUGAUAAAAUGGGGAGCACUUGAAGACCUUCAGCAAACACAUGGUGUCCAGCAGCACUUCCCUGCUUUCCUGCAAUCACGUUCCCCUCUUGGGGCAGCAGAU
Long non-coding RNA from Fukomys damarensis (Damara mole-rat), 635 nucleotides. RefSeq lists it as uncharacterized. The transcript has 3 exons. Lineage: Eukaryota; Metazoa; Chordata; Mammalia; Rodentia; Bathyergidae. The record is from RefSeq and is a predicted model, not a curated record.